Molecule: ribosomal RNA, 644 nt
Filed under: Corticiaceae sp. JCM 28418
Lineage: Eukaryota; Fungi; Basidiomycota; Agaricomycetes; Corticiales; Corticiaceae
Description: eukaryotic LSU rRNA
Rfam family: Eukaryotic large subunit ribosomal RNA
Source: RNAcentral
GCAUAUCAAUAAGCGGAGGAAAAGAAACUAACAAGGAUUCCCCUAGUAACUGCGAGUGAAGCGGGAAAAGCUCAAAUUUAAAAUCUGGCAGUCUUUGGCUGUCCGAGUUGUAAUCUGGAGAAGCGUUUUCCGCGCUGGACCGUGUACAAGUCUCUUGGAAUAGAGCGUCAUAGAGGGUGAGAAUCCCGUCUUUGACACGGACUACCAGUGCUUUGUGAUACGCUCUCAAAGAGUCGAGUUGUUUGGGAAUGCAGCUCAAAAUGGGUGGUAAAUUCCAUCUAAAGCUAAAUAUUGGCGAGAGACCGAUAGCGAACAAGUACCGUGAGGGAAAGAUGAAAAGCACUUUGGAAAGAGAGUUAAACAGUACGUGAAAUUGCUGAAAGGGAAGCGUUUGAAGUCAGUCGCGUUGUUCAGAACUCAACCUGGUUUUACUUGGUGCACUUUCUGGAUGACGGGCCAACAUCAGUUUUGACUGUCGGAAAAAAGCCUUUGGAAUGUGGCACCUCCGGGUGUGUUAUAGCCUUUGGUUGUAUACGAUGGUUGGGACUGAGGACCGCAGCACGCCUUUUGGCCGGGGUUCGCCCACGUACGUGCUUAGGAUGUUGGCGUAAUGGCUUUAAACGACCCGUCUUGAAACACGGACC